ACGAGUUGCACUUGUUUCUUUACGGCACCGCUGUGCACGGCAUGUUUCAGUGAUGUCUGCCUACGUCGUGCUCAGUCUGUCGAGUUGCUCGAAGAUAGGUAACGCCGUACACAGCUAGCAUUUUUUAAUCAGACACGUUAUACCUUGCUCUACCGAAACGCAAGUGAGGUAUAGACGCUAACGUAUACAAGCAAACUGAGAAUUUGCGGUAGCCGACGAUGUUCUAAACAUUGCCGCCUGCGGAAUGCUCGCUCCAGACGCAGCAUAGCGACGUCGUCUGGCUUCUCCAAAAAUACUGUAUGAAACAUCGCUCUGCUGCUGCUGCUGCUUAUUCGCAUUCUACACCACUGCAGUCGAAAUACGAGGGGGCCAGCGUUCCACCAGUUGUGCUGAGUCACGCCUCUUUCAAGCCACAGUACAAGUGGUGAUGUCAACACGUUCCUGGCUUUCACCAGUCACCUAGACGCUGAUCGGCGACUACUUGAAGGACACGAAGCAGCAGCUCCCACCGAGAUCCAGGCCCGCAUCAAGGGUUCCAGCCGAGGUCCUGUACCAAGACACCAUGGCCGAGAAACGUCAAAAAAUUUGUGGACAGCACUAAGCGAGUAAAACGAAGGCAGACAGCAUACGAGGCGCCACUCGCCUCAGUGGCACGUAGUGAGAGAAAGUUGAUUUUAAAGAAAGAAAGAGGAAACGCGAACUCCAAUUGUACUGGUAUAGAGUGUCCUUCAAGCACUGUGAUUUCAUUCAGUAAAACCAGUACAGAGAAACACGGAGUCAAAUUGUACUCGUAGAGUGCUCUUCCAUACCAUUGAUAUUAUUUAAUUAGGGGAUGAAGGAUGAUUGUUACAGCGGAUCAACUGAAGGGCCAGCUACUUUUUUCAUAUAUAUAUACAGAAUCUAGGAAAGUUCCCGAAUUUCACUAUUUUCUCGUCUCUGGGCCUUUUAUUUGUUUUUUUUCUUGUCCACAGAUUUACGAAAGUUGUCAGUACAAGUCUCUGGCUCCUUUAGGAAGAAAUGUUAUCCAGUUGCGUGUCGAUAAACAAGUGCCCCCAAGCAGGUACUCUAAACCCAUGAAGCCACCGUGAGCCACUGACGGAUCUCCAGGGGAGCAAUGCCACCAGUGUUUACUGUUUGAACCUUGCUCAGGAACCUCCACUUACUUGAAGACUAAAGCUUAAGGUAUCA
This 1188-nucleotide long non-coding RNA is filed under the name Dermacentor andersoni. RNAcentral describes it as "uncharacterized LOC126518375". Lineage: Eukaryota; Metazoa; Arthropoda; Arachnida; Ixodida; Ixodidae. The record is from RNAcentral.